UACGUAGGGCGCAAGCGUUAUCCGGAAUUAUUGGGCGUAAAGAGCUCGUAGGCGGUUUGUCGCGUCUGCCGUGAAAAUCCGGGGCUCAACCCCGGACUUGCAGUGGGUACGGGCAGACUAGAGUGUGGUAGGGGAGACUGGAAUUCCUGGUGUAGCGGUGAAAUGCGUAGAUAUCGAGAGGAACACCUGCGGCGAAGGCGGGUUGCUGGGCUGAUACUGACGCUGAGGCGCGAAAGCCAGGGGAGCGAACGGG
This 253-nucleotide ribosomal RNA is filed under the name uncultured bacterium. RNAcentral describes it as "partial 16S ribosomal RNA". It matches the Rfam family "Bacterial small subunit ribosomal RNA", at positions 524 to 776 of the family's 1533-position model. The record is from RNAcentral.